GAUGAACGCUGGCGGCGUGCCUAAUACAUGCAAGUCGGACGGAGUAUUAGCAAUAAUACUUAGUGGCGAACGGGUGAGUAACGCGUUGGUGACCUGCCCCGAAGAGAGGGAUAACAGUUCGAAAGGACUGCUAAUACCGCAUAAUAUCUCUGGAGUUAGAGUAAGGAGAUGAAAGGAGCAAUCCACUUUGGGAGGGGCCUGCGUCCCAUCAGCUAGUUGGUAAGGUAAGAGCCUACCAAGGCGAAGACGGGUAGGGGACCUGAGAGGGUGAUCCCCCACACUGGCACUGAAACACGGGCCAGACACCUACGGGAGGCUG
RNAcentral lists this ribosomal RNA (319 nucleotides) under uncultured Chloroflexota bacterium. Its description in RNAcentral is "bacterial SSU rRNA". It matches the Rfam family "Bacterial small subunit ribosomal RNA", at positions 28 to 351 of the family's 1533-position model. Lineage: Bacteria; Bacillati; Chloroflexota. The record is from RNAcentral.